CUACGGGGUGCUGCAGUGGGGAAUAUUGCACAAUGGGCGCAAGCCUGAUGCAGCCAUGCCGCGUGUAUGAAGAAGGCCUUCGGGUUGUAAAGUACUUUCAGCGGGGAGGAAGGGAGUAAAGUUAAUACCUUUGCUCAUUGACGUUACCCGCAGAAGAAGCACCGGCUAACUCCGUGCCAGCAGCCGCGGUAAUACGGAGGGUGCAAGCGUUAAUCGGAAUUACUGGGCGUAAAGCGCACGCAGGCGGUUUGUUAAGUCAGAUGUGAAAUCCCCGGGCUCAACCUGGGAACUGCAUCUGAUACUGGCAAGCUUGAGUCUCGUAGAGGGGGGUAGGAUUCGAGGUGUAGCGGUGAAAUGCGUAGAGAUCUGGAGGAAUACCGGUGGCGAAGGCGGCCCCCUGGACGAAGACUGACGCUCAGGUGCGAAAGCGUGGGGAGCAAACAGGAUUAGAUACCCUCGUAGUC
RNAcentral lists this ribosomal RNA (464 nucleotides) under uncultured bacterium. Its description in RNAcentral is "partial 16S ribosomal RNA". It matches the Rfam family "Bacterial small subunit ribosomal RNA", at positions 339 to 795 of the family's 1533-position model. The record is from RNAcentral.